This 465-nucleotide ribosomal RNA is filed under the name Vreelandella stevensii. RNAcentral's name for it is "partial 16S ribosomal RNA". It matches the Rfam family "Bacterial small subunit ribosomal RNA", at positions 338 to 795 of the family's 1533-position model. Lineage: Bacteria; Pseudomonadati; Pseudomonadota; Gammaproteobacteria; Oceanospirillales; Halomonadaceae. The record is from RNAcentral.
CCUACGGGUGGCUGCAGUGGGGAAUAUUGGACAAUGGGGGCAACCCUGAUCCAGCCAUGCCGCGUGUGUGAAGAAGGCCCUCGGGUUGUAAAGCACUUUCAGUGAGGAAGAACGCCUGGUGGUUAAUACCCAUCAGGAAAGACAUCACUCACAGAAGAAGCACCGGCUAACUCCGUGCCAGCAGCCGCGGUAAUACGGAGGGUGCGAGCGUUAAUCGGAAUUACUGGGCGUAAAGCGCGCGUAGGUGGCUUGAUAAGCCGGUUGUGAAAGCCCCGGGCUCAACCUGGGAACGGCAUCCGGAACUGGCAAGCUAGAGUGCAGGAGAGGAAGGUAGAAUUCCCGGUGUAGCGGUGAAAUGCGUAGAGAUCGGGAGGAAUACCAGUGGCGAAGGCGGCCUUCUGGACUGACACUGACACUGAGGUGCGAAAGCGUGGGUAGCAAACAGGAUUAGAUACCCGUGUAGUC